GGGGCUGGGGCUCAGAGGUAGAGCACAUGCUUUGCAUGUGUGAGGCAUUGGGUUCAAGUCUCAGCACCA
This 69-nucleotide transfer RNA is filed under the name Marmota monax (woodchuck). It matches the Rfam family "tRNA". Rfam says of the family: Transfer RNA (tRNA) molecules are approximately 80 nucleotides in length. Their secondary structure includes four short double-helical elements and three loops (D, anti-codon, and T loops). Lineage: Eukaryota; Metazoa; Chordata; Mammalia; Rodentia; Sciuridae. The record is from Rfam by way of RNAcentral.